UACGGUCAAGCUACGAAGGGCGCACGGUGGAUGCCUAGGCAUCGAGAGGCGAAGAAGGACGUGGACAGCUGCGAAAAGCCUCGGGGAGCUGCGAACAAGCGUUGAUCCGGGGAUUUCCGAAUCGGAAAACCGACUGAGCUAAUACUCAGUGACCACCCGCUGAAUACAUAGGCGGUUGGUGGCCAACCCAGGGAACUGAAACAUCUAAGUACCUGGUGGAAAGAAAAUCAAUUGAGACUCCCCUAGUAGCGGCGAGCGAACGGGGAUCAGCCUAAACCAAUACAGUGUAAGCCAAGGGGCGUUGCUGUAUCGGGGUCGUGGGACGUUCAGGAGGUACCCUUGCCCUCCACGAAGUUACAAAUCCACUCGCUAGUUGAACGGCAUGGAAAGGCCGGCCAGAGAAGGUGACAGCCCUGUACGCGAAAGUGAGUGGACUUCGGAAAUGUUCCCGAGUACCGCAGGACACGUGACAUCCGGCGGGAAUCUGGGAGGACCAUCUUCCAAGGCUAAGUACUACUCGAUGACCGAUAGUGAACAAGUACCGUGAGGGAAAGGUGAAANGCACCCCGGUUAGGGGAGUGAAAUAGUACCUGAAACCGUGCGUCUACAAGCAGUUGAAGCACUAUGCCCUUUUAGGGAAUGUGCAACAGCGUACCUUUUGCAUCAUGGGCCUGCGAGUUAUCCUAUGUCGCAAGGUUAAGCCGAGAGGUGUAGCCGGAGCGAAAGCGAGUUCGAAUAGAGCGACUCAGUGGCAUGGGAUAGACCCGAAACCUGGUGAUCUAUCCAUGGGCAGGUUGAAGCGCGGGUAAAACCGCGUGGAGGACCGAACCCACUCAAGUUGAAAAUUGAGGGGAUGACCUGUGGAUCGGAGUGAAAGGCUAAUCAAACCAGGAGAUAGCUGGUUCUCCGCGAAAUAUAUUGAGGUAUAGCCUCGGACGAAUUGCACCGGAGGUAGAGCACUGAAUGGGCUAGGGGUCUUACCCGAUUACCAAACCCAAUCAAACUCCGAAUGCCGGUGACAAGUAUCCGGGAGUCAGGCUGCGGGUGAUAAGGUCCGUAGCCGAGAGGGAAAGAGCCCAGAUCGACAGCUAAGGUCCCUAAAUCCAGACUAAGUGUAGAAGGAUGUGGGAGCGCUCAGACAGCCAGGAGGUUGGCUUAGAAGCAGCCACCCUUUAAAGAAAGCGUAAUAGCUCACUGGUCGAGCGAGCCUGCGCCGAAAAUGUAACGGGGCUAAGUCUGGUACCGAAGCUUCGGGUUCUACUUUGUAGAGCGGUAGCGGAGUAUUCUCAGAUAGAUACGAGGUGUACCGUAAGGAGCGCUGAUGGAUCUGAGAAGAGCUUAUGCAGGCAUGAGUAGCGAUAAACAGAGUGAGAAACUCUGUCGCCGUAAGCCCAAGGUUUCCUGGGGAAGGAUAAUCCUCCCAUGGGUUAGUCGGAACCUAAGCUGAGCCCGAAAGGGGUAGGCGAUGGCAAGCUGGUUAAUAUUCCAGCACUAGCAUUGAUGACGUUGAACUAAGCAGGGACGGAGAAGGAUAGGCCGAGCUGGCCGUUUGGUUGUGCCAGUUCAAGCGCGUAGGAGGACGUCGUAGGACCCAGUAGGGACAAACGCGAUGUCAACUCCGAGACGUGAUGAGGUGAGUCUUCGGACUCGUAACUCGGUGAUUCCAGGCUUCCGAGAAAAGCUGCGUAGUGAGUCCCAGUGCUAUCCGUACCGCAAACCGACUCAGGUGGGCGGGGUGAGCAUCCCAAGGCGCGUGAGAAAAUGCUGGCUAAGGAACUCGGCAAAUUGGCACCGUAACUUCGGGAGAAGGUGCGCCCCUAGUGGUGAUGAGCUCGCGCUCUGAGCUGCCGGGGGUUGCAGUGACCAGGGGGUUGCGACUGUUUACUAAAAACACAGGACUCUGCGAAAUCGUAAGAUGACGUAUAGGGUCUGACGCCUGCCCGGUGCUGGAAGGUUAAGGGGAGAUGUUAGUCCUUGUGGCGAAGCUUCGAACCGAAGCCCCAGUAAACGGCGGCCGUAACUAUAACGGUCCUAAGGUAGCGAAAUUCCUUGUCGGGUAAGUUCCGACCUGCACGAAUGGCGUAACGACAUCCCCACUGUCUCGGCCAGCAACUCAGCGAAAUUGUACUGAGGGUGAAGAUACCCUCUACCCGCGGCAAGACGGAAAGACCCCGUGAACCUUCACUGCAACUUGGCAGUGAUGCUCGGAACAGUCUGCGCAGGAUAGGUGGGAGGCUUUGAAGUCGGGAUUUUGGUCCCGAUGGAGCCACCCUUGAGAUACCACCCUGGCUGUUCUGGGCGUCUAACCCAGGCCCGUUAUCCGGGUCGGGGACACUGUCUGGUGGGCAGUUUGACUGGGGCGGUCGCCUCCCAAAAAGUAACGGAGGCGCGCGAUGGUUCCCUCAGGCUGAUUGGAAACCAGCCGUAGAGUGCAAAGGCAUAAGGGAGCUUGACUGUGAGAGUGACAACUCGAGCAGGUGCGAAAGCAGGCCUUAGUGAUCCGGUAUCUCCGAAUGGAAGGGAUAUCGCUCAACGGAUAAAAGGUACUCCGGGGAUAACAGGCUGAUCGCGCCUGAGAGUCCAUAUCGGCGGCGCGGUUUGGCACCUCGAUGUCGGCUCAUCCCAUCCUGGGGCUGGAGCAGGUCCCAAGGGUUUGGCUGUUCGCCAAUUAAAGGGGUACGCGAGCUGGGUUUAGAACGUCGUGAGACAGUUCGGUCCCUAUCUGCCGUGGGCGCAGGACACUUGAGAGGAUCUGACCAUAGUACGAGAGGACCUGGUUGGACGUACCUCUAGUGAGCCGGUUGUUCUGCCAAGGGCAUCGCCGGGUAGCUAUGUACGGAACGGAUAACCGCUGAAAGCAUCUAAGCGGGAAGCCGGCCUCGAGAUGAGGUGUCCCGGACCGCAAGGUCCCUAAAGGCCCCUUGAAGACUACGAGGAAAUAGGCCGGAUGUGGAAGCAUAGUAAUAUGCGGAGCUGACCGGUACUAAUCGGCCGUGAGGCUUGACCUA
Molecule: ribosomal RNA, 3008 nt
Filed under: Sandaracinus sp.
Lineage: Bacteria; Pseudomonadati; Myxococcota; Polyangiales; Sandaracinaceae
Description: bacterial LSU rRNA
Rfam family: Bacterial large subunit ribosomal RNA
Source: RNAcentral